Molecule: long non-coding RNA, 1495 nt
Organism: Aedes albopictus (Asian tiger mosquito)
Lineage: Eukaryota; Metazoa; Arthropoda; Insecta; Diptera; Culicidae
Exons: 3
Source: RefSeq, a predicted model, not a curated record
AUUUAUUGUCUAUCCGGUUGGAAUCAAGACCGACAUUCAAUCAAAAAUUGUCAUUUUCUUGUUCCACAAGUGUCGCAACUGUUUCGCAUCUAGUGCGCUGUGUUGCUGACAACAACGGGAAGGAUGCGCACUACUUUUGACAUGAUUAUAAAACGUCGCGAGUUGGGUCGCGUCGCGACUUGAUUGUGCGAAGUCCGGUUUGGUGGCGGCCCGACAAUAAUAGAAUGAGAACAUCUGCAACAGAUACCCAAGAGGUGGUUCCUCGGGUGAUGUGGAGAUCGACCCACUAAAAACUCAUUCUCUCUCUUCCUUACCUUCGCGGUACGCCCGUUAGGGAUGACUUCGAGAAAGGGGGGACCGUGUUGUUCACUCUCCCCUGGAGGCUCGGGUAUUGGCUAGUACUUAGACCACAGACGAAUUUAUACAGACGUAAGAGUGCGGUACAAACCACUAAAAAUUUUCGGUACCAUGUUUUCUUCUUUUUCCUUAUCCACAAGCUCACCGAGGGGGCUAGUUAUUACCAUUUUGCGGUUGUUUUUACGCAUUGGUUUACCCCUCCCACAAGAUUUUGACAGUUUUUCGCCGUCUUCGCCGGCUUUCGCCGCACAAAAACUUGUUUUGUUUUGUUUACGUAUCCCACCCAAAUCCAUCGGCAAAUUUGCGUCGUUUGCGUGGCUAGUGAAAUUAUUUGUAAUUUAAUGUUAAUCCUAUACGAAUUAUUCGAUGUUUUCCAUUGCGAGUGGUUAGCGCAGCAGCAAGAAUGAAACCAGCUACGGCCAAGUUGCUGGAUCUCAGAGCCGACGUUCUUCGCCAAGUCGUACACGAGCGACAAAUGUUGGUGACACCGAAUUUGUUUUGCAUUGGUGGAUCUGUACGAUUCGCUAGAUUCCGCCUGAGAACGAAUCUUGGAAGAAUAUCUCGCAGUGUCCCUAUCAUGUUGUCAGUCGGUGGAAUUGCUGAGAUGAUGCACGGGAGUUUCAGAGCACCGGAUCUGGACGGGAUGCAGCUGAAAUUUGUCGCUGCCCAGCCGGAACCUUGUCCAGCUGCCGGAAGCACCAGUACAGUGGUGCAAUAAAAAGGUGGUAAAGUUGCGUAGCUGGAGAUGGACAUCCUAGACGAUGAGUGGAAGAUUACCGAGCCGGAACGGCAGAACCGAAAAUACAAGAGCUUGCUCCAGAUUAUAAAGAAGCGUGAGAAGGCCAGGAAGUGGACAGGAUCCAGCUGUAUCAUAUGUCGAUGAACAGCAAAAACGAGGACAAGGAGUAUGCGGUGGUGGAGGAAAGAUUAAUGCCAUAGACUUAAUAGUAAUGCUCCCGAAUGCAGAGCUGAAUUGGGAAGACGAGCAGCUGGCCUCGACGAUGUACAAACCAGGUACUUCCGUCGACCAUCGUUUGCCAGCAGCCCUAUCUGGAGGAUCCUUGCCGAUUCGAUGUCAAUGCCUUGUGAUAGUAAAUACAUAUAUCUAAAUAAAAAUACUUAGGUGGGUGGGGGCGUU